This is a long non-coding RNA of Salvia splendens (bonfire salvia), 354 nucleotides long. RefSeq lists it as uncharacterized. The record is from RefSeq and is a predicted model, not a curated record. NCBI's taxonomy places the organism in Eukaryota, Viridiplantae, Streptophyta, Magnoliopsida, Lamiales, Lamiaceae. The transcript has 2 exons.
UAAGCAUCUUUCUUGCUUCACUUGUCACCAUUUCCACUUUGGUGAAAUUGGGAGUAACCGAGAUGAAAAAGGGGCUUUACUAAGGUUUCAACUUGGUCUUUUGUGGAGUGGGGAGCAAGGAUCGAGCUGGAGAAGAUUUCCAUGAUGAAUUAGAAUCUAGUGUUGCCAUUUUAAUCUUUCUAGCUACUAAUAGCUACUAAUGUAUAGUAGCUUUUGCAAAGUAGAUUUGUAUUCUUUUCCAUCUAGUCCUCAAAUAGGUUAGGUCAAGUACUCUACUUGUGAAAGGUAGCUUUCCAUGUGUACCUUAAGCUCCUAACAUUUCCUUUUUUGAGGGUGUAACUCAUCACUUUUACA